CAGAGAGGUUAAAACAGUGAUCGUCUGACAGUACAUGGAGUGAGAAGGACCCUGACUAAAGGAAAUCCCUCACACCAUAUCAAAGCACUGGCCUAUUGUACAGUAGCUAGUAGCAACAGUAGCACAGAGUAUCAUACGUCUCCUCAGUAAGACGACUGCCUCAUACCCAGAGUCACAUGCUGCUCACAGACAGAAGCUUCAUUUCCUAGUUAUAUGAGAUCAGACAAAUUCAGAAGAACACAGGCCCUAUAGUCAAAACUAGUACACUAUAACACCGAGCUGCACCACCCAGGUAAACUAGUACACUAUAACUCCGAGCUGCACCACCCAGGUAAACUAGUACACUAUAACACCGAGCUGCACCACCCAGGUAAACUAGUACACUAUAACACCAUGCUGCACCACCC
Oncorhynchus tshawytscha (Chinook salmon) is the source of this 407-nucleotide long non-coding RNA. Lineage: Eukaryota; Metazoa; Chordata; Actinopteri; Salmoniformes; Salmonidae. The record is from Ensembl.